CACAAACUUAGAGGCUUAAACAAUGCAAAUGUAUCGCCUUGCAGAUUCGUAGGUCAGAAGUCCGACACGGGUCUAUCAAGCUAAACCAAGGUGUGGGCAGGGCUGUACCCUGUUCUGUCAGCUCUCGGGAAGGGUCUGUUUCCUAGGAUCUUUAGGUUGUAGGUGAAUUCCGUCUUCCAGGUUGUAGGACCAACAACAACGACUGAGUUCCUCACACUGUGAACUGUCCUCUCCCUCCUGCCUCGUCUGUGCCUGCCAGGAGUGGUUCUUCGGUGUUAAGGACUCACAGUGACAGGAGGUAAGCCAUGAGGUUUCCCAUGAGUCAGGCACCAAGUAAGCAGCAGUGCCUGCUGGAAACCAGGUGCCCAGCUCAGAGGCUGGGCCACCCCAGGAACCCUCAGAGAAGACUGGGCGGUGCCCUGCCAGUGGGAGAUGAGGGCAAACAGGAAACCAGAGCUGCUGACCCUGCCCUUACUUCAAGGGUCGAUAUUUUGCUUAUCAUGUACAAUUGGUGUUAAUUUUUAUUUUAAAAAAUGUUUUAUAAAAAUGUUAUCUUGAUAACUGAGUUUUAAGCACCUCUUAAAUUGUACGUACACAGUGAGUACCUCACCGGCCGCUCACUGAGGGAAAGUCACCCACUGCUGAGCGCCUUUUAAGUGAAUUUAGGUAUGCAAACAGCUGUCCCAAAUCCAGGUUCAUAAACUGCUUAAAAUAAUAAAAAGUUUCCAUAUUACCAAAAUGUUCACGGUUCUCGAUAUCCUGAAACACACAGAGCUUUAGGUUUCCCACGGGCCCAGGGAAGACCAAGAAAGCGGAAUCGUUCUGUCUCCCACUGCUUCGUCCAACACCCCAAAGCAGGGCAGCACACUGCUGUGUUUGGUCAAAAGAGGGAGCCAUAGCUCGCCUUUGUCGCACCCCCAGUCUUGGUGAUCUUUUUCAUUUCUAAAUGGACGGGCAGUAGUAAGGAUCCCGAGUGAAAAGCUAAGGCACCCGUGAGUCCGUUCCACUGUUGUUGCUUUACACAUUUUUCUUUUGCCACUGUUUUACCUGUUUGGAAGCUGAUGUGCCUGCUCCAUCUCAGCCAUCCUGAGAGAAAGGUUGUUUCCAGAACAUUGACACUCUAAGCCUCAAGCCACUAGGGGCCACUGCCACCACCAAAAUGAGAUUCAGACAAUAAGUUGUAAUCAUUUACAUUGUAGGGGCACUUUACACACAACUGUUUCUUUAGAUAUAAUUUCAAAGACAUUUAUUUCUUUAAGACUCAUUUUAUAUAAUAUUUGUCUAAAUUUCAAGGUCCCCUAGUUAGUCCAAUUAAAUAUUUAGGAACAAAUUAUUUACAUAACCUCUCUGCAUCAACGAAUGUCUAACUCUUACAGCCUGCAUUUUCCAAGCCUGUGCUACACAGUGAGAACACAAAAUUGAGGAAGACCCAACUCUUGUCUUCAACAAUAGGUGAAUUGGAAGCACACAGACUAAUCCAUAAUGAGUGUCAGCAACGACCUAUUCACAGGCAAAGGAGGGGCUCUUUGGGGAAGGAGGGGGUUCAGCUAAGUGCAUGCAAUAUUGACCAGUAUAUAAAGAGACAUGUGUUAAUAUGGAAAGUCAGGCAGACUAUCUGGUCUCAACCUGUUUCUUACAUGGGAUGUAGAAAGCGUGAAAUCAUUUCCACACUCCCAAAGGGCACAUUGUGUUCACCAUUGGAUCUACCAAAGAAGAAAGAAAAGGGGGUUCCUGAAGAUCUAAUGGCACUAAGAAACACCUCCAAAAUGCUUUUCCCCAUAAGAAACUUAAAAAUUAUUUAAAAACCUUUUUAAAAUAUUUUUUAAUUUGAGUUUUUUUUUUUUUUUUUUCAUAUAUUCUCUCCACAGGACCUGCCUCACGGGAUGAGAAGCCAGCAUGACCUAAAAAGGCCUGGAAUGCCCUGCCCCAGGGUCUCCAACUUCUGAAGGGGGCAUGUUGCCUCUGUUUUGCAUGAUGAGAGCUAAAAGGGUCACUAAAGUCAAGAGGGAAGAAUGAAAAGCAGAAAUUCCUGCCAGUCCAAAGACCUGGACACUUCCCUUUGUGCCACUUACCUCUGCCCUGGGCAUUGAGCUAAAAAUUAACCAGCUCAGAGGAGCACUCAGGUGACUCCAGGGGCCCCAGGAGGAGUUCAGUCCUCUCUGCCAGGAGAUUCCCAGGAUUAUAAACCAGGGCACAGGACAGCAGGACAUGGAAGACAACUUGGAAGCACUGGGUUGCCCUCAGCCAGUGUUCACGCACCAACCAGCAACCAGGAAGUGCCCCCUGCCAUAGUUCCUGACCCCAGGGCCAUGGGGGUCCUGGCUAGCCACUGUCAUCAUGUCACUACUGAAGGACAUGCUCUUUGUACUUCAUGAGCUAAAAUACAGUUCAGUUGUGAGUUUGUUCAGAGUUUGGGUUUGUGAGACAGAAUGAAAUUAGCAAUACAAAAGAGCAAUACAUGUGCAACCAUUGGG
RNAcentral lists this long non-coding RNA (2474 nucleotides) under Marmota monax (woodchuck). Lineage: Eukaryota; Metazoa; Chordata; Mammalia; Rodentia; Sciuridae. The record is from RNAcentral.